GACGAACGCUGGCGGCGUGCUUAACACAUGCAAGUCGAACGGAAAGGCCCUUCGGGGUACUCGAGUGGCGAACGGGUGAGUAACACGUGGGUGAUCUGCCCUGCACUUUGGGAUAAGCCUGGGAAACUGGGUCUAAUACCGGAUAGGACCACGGCAUUCAUGUGCUGUGGUGGAAAGCUUUUGCGGUGUGGGAUGGGCCCGCGGCCUAUCAGCUUGUUGGUGGGGUAAUGGCCUACCAAGGCGACGACGGGUAGCCGGCCUGAGAGGGUGACCGGCCACACUGGGACUGAGAUACGGCCCAGACUCCUACGGGAGGCAGCAGUGGGGAAUAUUGCACAAUGGGCGCAAGCCUGUUGCAGCGACGCCGCGUGAGGGAUGACGGCCUUCGGGUUGUAAACCUCUUUCGCCAGGGACGAAGCGCAAGUGACGGUACCUGGAGAAGAAGGACCGGCCAACUACGUG
RNAcentral lists this ribosomal RNA (462 nucleotides) under uncultured bacterium. RNAcentral's name for it is "partial 16S ribosomal RNA". It matches the Rfam family "Bacterial small subunit ribosomal RNA", at positions 28 to 507 of the family's 1533-position model. The record is from RNAcentral.